This 1791-nucleotide ribosomal RNA is filed under the name Shigella boydii. Its description in RNAcentral is "partial 23S ribosomal RNA". It matches the Rfam family "Bacterial large subunit ribosomal RNA", at positions 174 to 1990 of the family's 2925-position model. Lineage: Bacteria; Pseudomonadati; Pseudomonadota; Gammaproteobacteria; Enterobacterales; Enterobacteriaceae. The record is from RNAcentral.
AUGAGGCGAACCGGGGGAACUGAAACAUCUAAGUACCCCGAGGAAAAGAAAUCAACCGAGAUUCCCCCAGUAGCGGCGAGCGAACGGGGAGCAGCCCAGAGCCUGAAUCAGUGUGUGUGUUAGUGGAAGCGUCUGGAAAGGCGUGCGAUACAGGGUGACAGCCCCGUACACAAAAAUGCACAUAUUGUGAGCUCGAUGAGUAGGGCGGGACACGUGGUAUCCUGUCUGAAUAUGGGGGGACCAUCCUCCAAGGCUAAAUACUCCUGACUGACCGAUAGUGAACCAGUACCGUGAGGGAAAGGCGAAAAGAACCCCGGCGAGGGGAGUGAAAAAGAACCUGAAACCGUGUACGUACAAGCAGUGGGAGCACGCUUAGGCGUGUGACUGCGUACCUUUUGUAUAAUGGGUCAGCGACUUAUAUUCUGUAGCAAGGUUAACCGAAUAGGGGAGCCGAAGGGAAACCGAGUCUUAACUGGGCGUUAAGUUGCAGGGUAUAGACCCGAAACCCGGUGAUCUAGCCAUGGGCAGGUUGAAGGUUGGGUAACACUAACUGGAGGACCGAACCGACUAAUGUUGAAAAAUUAGCGGAUGACUUGUGGCUGGGGGUGAAAGGCCAAUCAAACCGGGAGAUAGCUGGUUCUCCCCGAAAGCUAUUUAGGUAGCGCCUCGUGAAUUCAUCUCCGGGGGUAGAGCACUGUUUCGGCAAGGGGGUCAUCCCGACUUACCAACCCGAUGCAAACUGCGAAUACCGGAGAAUGUUAUCACGGGAGACACACGGCGGGUGCUAACGUCCGUCGUGAAGAGGGAAACAACCCAGACCGCCAGCUAAGGUCCCAAAGUCAUGGUUAAGUGGGAAACGAUGUGGGAAGGCCCAGACAGCCAGGAUGUUGGCUUAGAAGCAGCCAUCAUUUAAAGAAAGCGUAAUAGCUCACUGGUCGAGUCGGCCUGCGCGGAAGAUGUAACGGGGCUAAACCAUGCACCGAAGCUGCGGCAGCGACACUAUGUGUUGUUGGGUAGGGGAGCGUUCUGUAAGCCUGUGAAGGUGUACUGUGAGGUAUGCUGGAGGUAUCAGAAGUGCGAAUGCUGACAUAAGUAACGAUAAAGCGGGUGAAAAGCCCGCUCGCCGGAAGACCAAGGGUUCCUGUCCAACGUUAAUCGGGGCAGGGUGAGUCGACCCCUAAGGCGAGGCCGAAAGGCGUAGUCGAUGGGAAACAGGUUAAUAUUCCUGUACUUGGUGUUACUGCGAAGGGGGGACGGAGAAGGCUAUGUUGGCCGGGCGACGGUUGUCCCGGUUUAAGCGUGUAGGCUGGUUUUCCAGGCAAAUCCGGAAAACUAAGGCUGAGGCGUGAUGACGAGGCACUACGGUGCUGAAGCAACAAAUGCCCUGCUUCCAGGAAAAGCCUCUAAGCAUCAGGUAACAUCAAAUCGUACCCCAAACCGACACAGGUGGUCAGGUAGAGAAUACCAAGGCGCUUGAGAGAACUCGGGUGAAGGAACUAGGCAAAAUGGUGCCGUAACUUCGGGAGAAGGCACGCUGAUAUGUAGGUGAAGUCCCUCGCGGAUGGAGCUGAAAUCAGUCGAAGAUACCAGCUGGCUGCAACUGUUUAUUAAAAACACAGCACUGUGCAAACACGAAAGUGGACGUAUACGGUGUGACGCCUGCCCGGUGCCGGAAGGUUAAUUGAUGGGGUCAGCGCAAGCGAAGCUCUUGAUCGAAGCCCCGGUAAACGGCGGCCGUAACUAUAACGGUCCUAAGGUAGCGAAAUUCCUUGUCGGGUAAGUUCCGACCUG